AAUCUUUUAUAAGAACAUUUAAAGAACGUCUUGGUAAAGAAAAAAGGACGUCGCGCGACGAAACGUUAUAAGUAGGCAUUGGCUUGUGAUCUAUAAAUUUCCUUUAGAAAACUAUCUUAUUGUAGAUUAUAAAAAUAUGCGAAUUGAAUCAUCUUAGUAGCAUUGAUACCAAAUCAACCGAGAUCCCGUUAGUAGUGGCGAAUGAAUGCGGUAAAGGCUUAUUACUUAUCAUUUUUUAAAUUUAACCUAAGAGGGUGUAAGUCCCGUAAAAUGUAAUCGAUAAGUAAUAUUAUAAGUAAUACGAGUAAAUUGUACGAACAAAGGAGGACCACCUUCUAAGCCUAAAUUUUUCUUUAACCGAUAGUGAACGAGUACCGUGAGGGAAAGACAAAAAAUACCGUAAGGAAGCUGACUUAAUAAAUUAGCGUUUUGAAUUUAAAUGUUUAAAUCAUACUUGAAGUUUCUAAUUUUUUAGGAAUAACAAGGUGCCUUUUGCAUAAUGAGCCAGUAAGUUAAUAUUUACAGCAAGCUUAAAAAUAUUAAUUGUAGGCAAUUAAAAAGUUGUAUAUAUUAAACCUGAAGCCAAGUGAUCUAAUUAUGAGCAGGUUGAUAACUCAUUAACAUGUUUUGGAAGACCGAACCCGUAUAUGUAGCAAAAUAUUGGGAUGACUUGUGGUUAGGGGUGAAAGGCCAAUCAAACUUGGCGAUAGCCGGUUUUUCACGAAAAGUAUUUAAGUACUACGUUACUAAAAGUACGUUGUAGGUACAGUAACAAAUUAAACAAUGGGAUGUAUAAAGUUUAUUGCGUUUAAUUUAACUUUGAACUAAAACUUCACUUUAGUAACAGACAGUCUUUGGGCGAUAAGGUUCAAGGACAAAAGGGUAACAACCCAGACCGUAUAUUAAGAUCUCUAAAUUAUAACUUAGUGGGGAAGAUUUGCAUUAUUUCAAAUAAAUUUGGGUAGGCUUAGAAGCAGCCUUCCAUUGGAGAAAGCGUUUUAGCUCGCUAUUUUUUAAUGCAAGUUUAAAAUAAACGAGGCUCCAAGUUAUAUAUCGAAGUAACGGAUCAGUAUAAUGUACUUGAUGGUAGUGAAACAUUCUGUUAACUAUUUAGGAGAACGAAAGUUUCUAAAAUAUAACCAGAAGCGCUAAUGCUGGCAUGAGUAGCGAAAACUAUGUUUUAAAACAUAGUCGCCUAUUGUUCAAGGUUUUCAACGUAAUUUUAAAUACGUUGAGUUAGUCGGUCCUUAAAAUUACAGUAAAAACUACAAUUGAUAGGAAUUUACCAGCCAUAAGUGCUUUAGCAUGAACGGGUCUAAAAAUUUAAAGUUGUCUUUAAUGGUUAAAAAACUGCAAACUUUAGAUCCCAGGAAAAAUUUAUGACGUAGUUGACCGUACCUAAACCGACACAGGUGAACAUGUUGAGUAUACAAAGGCGAAUGAGUAAAUUAAAUUGAAGGAACUCGGCAAAUUAACUCUGUAAGUUCGCGAUAAAGAGUGCCAGUUAUUAAACUGGCGUCACAAAAUAGAAAGCAACGACUGGUUACCAAAACCACAAGACUCUGCAAAUUAGUAAAUAAGACGUAUAGAGUUUGACAUCUGCCCAGUGCUUGAAGGUGAUAAACGUAGGUUAAGUGCUUACGUUGUAAUCCCAAGUAAACGGCGGUUCUAACUAUAAGAAUCCUUAGGUAGCGAAAUUCCUUGACGGGUAAGUUCCGUCCUGCAUGAAUGAUGUCACGAUUGCUUUACUGUCUCCAAUUUAAUCUCAGCGAAAUUACAUAGCCUAUGAAAAUGUAGGUAACCUGUAGUAAGACGGAAAGACCCUAGAUCCUUUACUUUAAUUUUAUAUUGAAAAAAUAAACAUGUUAUGUAGAAUAAAUGGGAGUAAUUAAAUUACACAAAUGAAAUACCAUUUUUCAUGCUAUGUUUUUUCUUUAUUUAUUUUAACAAUAAAAAUAGUAUAAAAUUGGGAGUUUACUUGGGACGAGUACCUCCUAAAAUGUAACGGAGGUGUACAAAGAUAAAUUUCAGUUGUUUGUAAAAACAAUUAAGCGUAUAAUGGCAAUAAAUUUGUUUGACAGUUAGAUUGAUAAAUCGUACUGGGACGCAAGUCAGUCAUAGUGAUCCGGUACCAAUGUGUGGAAAUUGUACCGCUCAACAAAUAAAAGGAACUCUAGGGAUAACAGAUUCAUCAUGGUUGAGAGUUCUUAUUGAUGCCAUGGUUUGAUACCUCGAUGUCGACAUAACCUCAUCUUAUCCUGGAAUUGAAGCAGAUUCCAAGGGUCUAGUUGUUCGCUAGUGAAGAAGGUACGUGAGUUGGGUUCAGAACGUCGUGAGACAGUUCGGUCCCUAUCUGCUACAGGUCAGAAAAAAUAAAAGCGUAUUUUUAGUACGAGAGGACCAAAAUAUUUUAACCACUGGUGUAUUGGUUGUUAGUACCAUUAGCAAGCCAAGUAGCUAAGUUAACAAAGUUUAUGUACUGAAAGAAUCAAUAGUACGAAAACUUCUUUUAAUUUUUUCAAGAAUAUUCUAGAAGACUACUAGAUAGAUCGGUUUGGCAUAUAUAAUUAGUAAUAAAGUUAUAGAACAAAUACGAAUUUAUUCAAAAAAGAUUUUA
Molecule: ribosomal RNA, 2617 nt
Filed under: Palmaria palmata (dulse)
Lineage: Eukaryota; Rhodophyta; Florideophyceae; Palmariales; Palmariaceae
Description: ribosomal RNA large subunit
Rfam family: Bacterial large subunit ribosomal RNA
Source: RNAcentral